GACGAACGCUGGCGGCGUGCUUAACACAUGCAAGUCGAACGGUGAAGCGCCUUCCUUUUUGGUGGGUGUGGAUGAGUGGCGAACGGGUGAGUAACACGUGAGUAACCUGCCCCCUUCUUCUGGAUAACCGCAUGAAAGUGUGGCUAAUACGGGAUAUUCUGGGUCUGUCGCAUGAUGGGUCUGGGAAAGAUAUUGUUUCGGUGGGGGAUGGGCUCGCGGCCUAUCAGCUUGUUGGUGGGGUGAUGGCCUACCAAGGCGGUGACGGGUAGCCGGCCUGAGAGGGUGGACGGUCACACUGGGACUGAGACACGGCCAAGACUCCUACGGGAGGCAGCAGUGGGGAAUAUUGCACAAUGGGCGCAAGCCUGAUGCAGCGACGCCGCGAGAGGGAUGGAGGCCUUCGGGUUGUGAACCUCUUUCGCCAGUGAAGCAGGCCUGCCUCGUUUGUGGGUGGGUUGACGGUAGCUGGAUAAGAAGCGCCGGCUAACUACGUG
RNAcentral lists this ribosomal RNA (494 nucleotides) under uncultured bacterium. RNAcentral's name for it is "partial 16S ribosomal RNA". It matches the Rfam family "Bacterial small subunit ribosomal RNA", at positions 28 to 507 of the family's 1533-position model. The record is from RNAcentral.